GGUGCGUAGCGCGUAUGCAAUCUACCUUUUACAGAGGGAUAGCCCAGAGAAAUUUGGAUUAAUACCUCAUAGUAUAGUGACUCGGCAUCGAGAUACUAUUAAAGUCACAACGGUAAAAGAUGAGCAUGCGUCCCAUUAGCUAGUUGGUAAGGUAACGGCUUACCAAGGCUACGAUGGGUAGGGGUCCUGAGAGGGAGAUCCCCCACACUGGUACUGAGACACGGACCAGACUCCUACGGGAGGCAGCAGUGAGGAAUAUUGGACAAUGGGCGCAAGCCUGAUCCAGCCAUGCCGCGUGCAGGAUGACGGUCCUAUGGAUUGUAAACUGCUUUUGUACGAGAAGAAACACUCCUACGUGUUGGAGCUUGACGGUAUCGUAAGAAUAAGGAUCGGCUAACUCCGUGCCAGCAGCCGCGGUAAUACGGAGGAUCCAAGCGUUAUCCGGAAUCAUUGGGUUUAAAGGGUCCGUAGGCGGUUUAGUAAGUCAGUGGUGAAAGCCCAUCGCUCAACGGUGGAACGGCCAUUGAUACUGCUAAACUUGAAUUAUUAGGAAGUAACUAGAAUAUGUAGUGUAGCGGUGAAAUGCUUAGAGAUUACAUGGAAUACCAAUUGCGAAGGCAGGUUACUACUAAUGGAUUGACGCUGAUGGACGAAAGCGUGGGU
Molecule: ribosomal RNA, 663 nt
Filed under: Flavobacterium tructae
Lineage: Bacteria; Pseudomonadati; Bacteroidota; Flavobacteriia; Flavobacteriales; Flavobacteriaceae
Description: bacterial SSU rRNA
Rfam family: Bacterial small subunit ribosomal RNA
Source: RNAcentral